GAUGAACGCUAGCUACAGGCUUAACACAUGCAAGUCGAGGGACCGGCGCACAGGUGAGUAACACGUAUCCAACCUGCCAUUUACCCGGGGAUAACCUUUCGCAAGAAAGAUUAAUACCCGAUGUACAGGAUGGGGUUGCCUUACAGUAGGUUGUGGGUGCGGUAACGGCGCACCAAGCCUUCGGUGGAUAGGGGUUCUGAGAGGAAGUCCCCCCACAUCGGAACUGAGACACGGUCCAAACUCCUACGGGCGGCAGCAGUGAGGAAGAUUGGUCAAUGGGCGUUAGCCUGAACCAGCCAAGUAGCGGGAAGGAUGAAGUGUUAUGGGUCGUAAACUUCUUUUAUAUAAGAAUAUGUAUUAUAUGAAUAAGGAUCGGCUAACUCCGUGCCAGCAGCCGCGGUAAUUC
RNAcentral lists this ribosomal RNA (406 nucleotides) under uncultured bacterium. RNAcentral describes it as "partial 16S ribosomal RNA". It matches the Rfam family "Bacterial small subunit ribosomal RNA", at positions 28 to 526 of the family's 1533-position model. The record is from RNAcentral.